CGCCCGGGGCCGGGGCGGGGCGCCCGCGCACUCCCCGGCCGCUCCCCGGAGAGGGACCCGGGGCUGGCCCGCGGUGCGGGUCUGGGGGGCGGCUCGCUAGGGCGCUGUGGUCCGAGGCGGGGAGGCCCGGGGACGGAGGGAGGGCGGCACCCGGAGCCUCUACUGUCCGGAGCCCGGCGCCCCCGCCCCCGCUCGGGCCCCGACCGGGAGAGCCGACGCGGGCUUGCCGCAAGCUUCCCGCUGCCCGCGGAAGGCGGCCUCUGGGCUCCGGCCCUCGGGGGGGGGGGGGGAGGGGGACGGGUGGCGGCGCGGGCCCUGAGGUCGCGGCCGGAGCUGCUGGCCGCCGCCGCAGCCGCCCCGCUGUCGAGUCGAGGAACUCCAGCGGUUUAGGGCUUCCGUGGUCUUUGCGGUCUGGGCCUCAUUCUCCCCGCAGGACUCGGCUCGUCUGCGAGCUGCACAUCGCCCCAAAGCCCCCCCCCCCCCCCCCCCCCCACUGUCCGGGUCGCGGAUCCCGCGUCCUGACCGGUUGCUCAGCCUGAAUUUGAAGUGAAACACCGGGCCGGGCCGCCUGCGAUCCCUCCUCCCGAAGGCUGUGAACUCUUAGGAUGGGCGCCCAGUCCGCAAUUCAACAAGUCUUUAGGAGUAAGCGCUGUGAACAAAUGACUGAUGGAUAAUGGAUUAGCUCUAGAACCCUGUCAAUUAGGUUAAUUCUGAUGGAUUCCAUUUUUGUAUGGUUCCACAGUACUAGUAUCAAUAGAUUUAUUUGUGAGCAUGUUUCUUUGGAGGAAAUGCAUUUCUAGGGUAUUACUUUUUUGAGAAAUCAAGUAUGUUGUUUAUGGAAGGAGUAAUCAAUUAGGCAGCUUGUGAUUUUUGAAAACUAAUUUUCGAUUCCUCAAAAACAUUUUCUAAUUCGUAUCAGCAGGCUAAAAUUGGGUCUUCCUUUCCCUUGGAAAUGUCUCGAUUGUCACCCAGCAAGAUAGGCAUUUGUUUAUCAAAGCUGAAACAAUCAUGAUUGAUUCAGUUUCUCUGCUGUAUUAUUUUAUGCUUAUUUUUCCUCCAAAACAAUGGAGAGUGCAAAAAGCAACAGUGAAAGUUGUCUUGGGUCUUUUAUCCGUAUAAUUAAUGAAUGCAAACAAUAGGUCUUUAUACAUAGGUAUGGGCAGGAAACCUACUUAUUCACUCAUGGAGUAGGAUAUGUAGUUUUAGGCAAGCUAAUGCUCAGGGCCAACAUGUUCUUUAAAUAAUUCUUUUUUCCCCCGUCUUAAAGGUAUUUUACUACAUACAGCGGUAACGUUUAACUGCUAUGACCAUACCAGCGGAAAAAGUACACACACUAAGAUGAUGUUCGAAAUUGUUCCAAUUGUCUCACCAAACAUAUGAGAUGAAUAACUUCUGUGCAAUAAAGACAAAUGCUACCAUUAAACCAGUAAGAAAUACAAGCAUCAAAAUACCUGAUGAGUUGGUCAAAUAAUUGCUUUUGUAAAAAUGAUUUUUCAAAAUGGGCCUUGGGCAAUAUGUUUCAUAAAAAACAUUUGGUUAUCUUUUUACACCUUCUUCUAGAGCCAGCCAUUUGGGUUUGACGUGAAUUAAUCCAUUUUAAUGCAAAAGACUGCAUUAAACAGAAAAAAAAAAAAAAGCUGCAAAAGACAAAUGGUUCCAAAUUUCAGGCUCUGUGCCUAGAAACCAAAAGUGUCUCCAGCUGGUUUAACAGAGGAAGUAUUACUUGUCAUGAUAUUAGACCAUUGGCACAUCAAGCAGUGAUUACAUGGAUUCUGAAUGGAAAGCAUCCCUUCACUAAAACACAUGAUUCUGAAUCACCUUAGGCAAAGAAAGAAAUGCCCAGCGUGUUUGUGCACUUCCAACAGAAACAUUAAUCAAGGCAGCACUGUAAAGAAGGCCCAUUCACUUUUUGGAUAGUUAACUAUCAAAUCCAUUAAUUAAACAUUUAUUGAGCACUA
Felis catus (domestic cat) is the source of this 1958-nucleotide long non-coding RNA. RefSeq lists it as uncharacterized. NCBI's taxonomy places the organism in Eukaryota, Metazoa, Chordata, Mammalia, Carnivora, Felidae. The record is from RefSeq and is a predicted model, not a curated record. The transcript has 2 exons.